AAUCUUCCACAAUGGACGAAAGUCUGAUGGAGCAACGCCGCGUGAGCGAAGAAGGUUUUCGGCUCGUAAAGCUCUGUUGCGAGGGAAGAACAAGUACGGGAGUAACUGCCCGUACCUUGACGGUACCUCGUACGAAAGCCAUGGCUAACUACGUGCCAGCAGCCGCGGGAAUGCGUAGAUGGCAAGCGUUGUACGGAAUUAUUGGGCGUAAAGCGCGCGCAGGCGGUCAUUUAAGUCUGAUGUGAAAGCCCACGGGUCAACCGUGGAGGGUCAUUGGAAACUGGAGGACUUGAGUACAGAAGAGGAAAGCGGAAUUCCACGUGCAGCGGUGAAAUGCGUAGAGAUGUGGAGGAACACCAGUGGCGAAGGCGGCUUUCUGGUCUGUAACUGACGCUGAGGCGCGAAAGCGUGGGGAGCAAACAG
RNAcentral lists this ribosomal RNA (423 nucleotides) under uncultured bacterium. Its description in RNAcentral is "partial 16S ribosomal RNA". It matches the Rfam family "Bacterial small subunit ribosomal RNA", at positions 360 to 775 of the family's 1533-position model. The record is from RNAcentral.